UGGGGAAUAUUGCACAAUGGGCGCAAGCCUGAUGCAGCCAUGCCGCGUGUGUGAAGAAGGCCUUCGGGUUGUAAAGCACUUUCAGCGAGGAGGAAGGUGGUGGACUUAAUACGUUCAUCAAUUGACGUUACUCGCAGAAGAAGCACCGGCUAACUCCGUGCCAGCAGCCGCGGUAAUACGGAGGGUGCAAGCGUUAAUCGGAAUUACUGGGCGUAAAAGCGCACGCAGGCGGUUUGUUAAGUCAGAUGUGAAAUCCCCGGGCUCAACCUGGGAACUGCAUUUGAAACUGGCAAGCUAGAGUCUCGUAGAGGGGGGUAGAAUUCCAGGUGUAGCGGUGAAAUGCGUAGAGAUCUGGAGGAAUACAGGUGGCGAAGGCGGCCCCCUGGACGAAGACUGACGCUCAGGUGCGAAAGCGUGGGGAGCAAAACAGGAUUAGAUACCCUGGUAGUCCACGCUGUAAAACGAUGUCGAUUUGGAGGUUGUGCCCUUGAGGCGUGGCUUCCGGAGCUAACGCGUUAAAUCGACCGCCUGGGGAGUACGGCCGCAAGGUUAAAACUCAAAGGAAUUGACGGGGUCAUAGCUGUUUCCUG
RNAcentral lists this ribosomal RNA (590 nucleotides) under uncultured bacterium. RNAcentral describes it as "partial 16S ribosomal RNA". It matches the Rfam family "Bacterial small subunit ribosomal RNA", at positions 355 to 1376 of the family's 1533-position model. The record is from RNAcentral.